Molecule: ribosomal RNA, 424 nt
Filed under: uncultured bacterium
Lineage: Bacteria
Description: partial 16S ribosomal RNA
Rfam family: Bacterial small subunit ribosomal RNA
Source: RNAcentral
AAUUUUGGACAAUGGGGGAAACCCUGAUCCAGCAAUGCCGCGUGCAGGAUGAAGGCCUUCGGGUUGUAAACUGCUUUUGUACGGAACGAAAAGUCUUGGGUUAAUAUCCUGGAAUCUUGACGGUACCGUCAGAAUAAGCACCGGCUAUCGUCGUGCCAGCAGCUGCGGUAAUACGGAGGGUGCAAGCGUUAAUUGGAAUUACGGGGCGUAAAACGUGCGGUGGCGGUUUUGUAAGACAGUGGUGAAAUCCCCGGGCACAACCUGGGAACUGCCAUUGUGACUGCAAGGCUGGAGUGCGGCAGAGGGGGAUGGAAUUCCGCGUGUAGCAGUGAAAUGCGUAGAUAUGCGGAGGAACACCGAUGGCGAAGGCAAUCCCCUGGGCCUGCACUGACGCUCAUGCACGAAAGCGUGGGGAGCAAACAGG